ACGCCGUAAACGAUGUCUACUUGGAGGUUGGUGUCUUGAACACUGGCUUUCGGAGCUAACGCGCUAAGUAGACCGCCUGGGGAGUACGGUCGCAAGAUUAAAACUCAAAUGAAUUGACGGGGGCCCGCACAAGCGGUGGAGCAUGUGGUUUAAUUCGAUGCAACGCGAAGAACCUUACCUACUCUUGACAUCCACGGAAUCCUGCAGAGAUGCGGGAGUGCCUUUGGGAACCGUGAGACAGGUGCUGCAUGGCUGUCGUCAGCUCGUGUUGUGAAAUGUUGGGUUAAGUCCCGCAACGAGCGCAACCCUUAUCCUUGUUUGCCAGCACUUCGGGUGGGAACUCCAGGGAGACUGCCGGUGAUAAACCGGAGGAAGGUGGGGACGACGUCAAGUCAUCAUGGCCCUUACGAGUAGGGCUACACACGUGCUACAAUGGCAUAUACAGAGGGCAGCAAGACCGCGAGGUGGAGCGAAUCCCACAAAGUAUGUCGUAGUCCGGAUUGGAGUCUGCAACUCGACUCCAUGAAGUCGGAAUCGCUAGUAAUCGUGGAUCAGAAUGCCACGGUGAAUACGUUCCCGGGCCUUGUACACACCGCCCGUCACACCAUGGGAGUGGGCUGCACCAGAAGUAGAUAGCUUAACCUUCGGGAGGG
This 653-nucleotide ribosomal RNA is filed under the name uncultured Gammaproteobacteria bacterium. RNAcentral describes it as "bacterial SSU rRNA". It matches the Rfam family "Bacterial small subunit ribosomal RNA", at positions 797 to 1450 of the family's 1533-position model. The record is from RNAcentral. Lineage: Bacteria; Pseudomonadati; Pseudomonadota; Gammaproteobacteria.